GACGAACGCUGGCGGCGUGCCUAAUACAUGCAAGUAGAACGCUGAAGGAGGAGCUUGCUUCUCUGGAUGAGUUGCGAACGGGUGAGUAACGCGUAGGUAACCUGCCUGGUAGCGGGGGAUAACUAUUGGAAACGAUAGCUAAUACCGCAUAAGAGUAGAUGUUGCAUGACAUUUGCUUAAAAGGUGCAAUUGCAUCACUACCAGAUGGACCUGCGUUGUAUUAGCUAGUUGGUGGGGUAACGGCUUACCAAGGCGACGAUACAUAGCCGACCUGAGAGGGGGAUCGGCCACACUGGGACUGAGACACGGCCCAGACUCCUACGGGAGGCAGCAGUAGGGAAUCUUCGGCAAUGGACGGAAGUCUGACCGAGCAACGCCGCGUGAGUGAAGAAGGGUUUCGGAUCGUAAAGCUCUGUUGUAAGAGAAGAACGAGUGUGAGAGUGGAAAGUUCACACUGUGACGGUAGCUUACCAGAAAGAGACGGCUAACUACGUG
RNAcentral lists this ribosomal RNA (495 nucleotides) under uncultured bacterium. RNAcentral's name for it is "partial 16S ribosomal RNA". It matches the Rfam family "Bacterial small subunit ribosomal RNA", at positions 28 to 507 of the family's 1533-position model. The record is from RNAcentral.